This 106-nucleotide small nucleolar RNA is filed under the name Capsicum annuum. RNAcentral describes it as "Plant small nucleolar RNA R71". It matches the Rfam family "Plant small nucleolar RNA R71". Rfam says of the family: R71 is a member of the C/D box family of snoRNAs containing the C (UGAUGA) and D (CUGA) box motifs. Multiple nearly identical copies of this snoRNA have been identified in Arabidopsis, and it is thought to function as a 2'-O-ribose methylation guide for 18S ribosomal RNA. The record is from Rfam by way of RNAcentral. Lineage: Eukaryota; Viridiplantae; Streptophyta; Magnoliopsida; Solanales; Solanaceae.
AUCUCAUGGUUAGGUCACUUCAAGAGAUUCUCCUUGAAUCUUCACCAAGCUUCAUACCACGGUUCUUCAUGGAAUUGGUAAAAAUUAACAAUUUCAUCCUGAAGUU